Non-coding RNA from Pelobates cultripes (western spadefoot toad), 3117 nucleotides. The record is from the annotation of a GenBank genome assembly. Lineage: Eukaryota; Metazoa; Chordata; Amphibia; Anura; Pelobatidae.
UUAUCCGUGCAAAGGCAUUCCAAAGGGGUAUUAUGUAAAACUUUAUAGAAGACAGAUUGCAUAAAAUAUAAGCAAAUAUAAGAGAGGUACAUGCUAAACGAGUUAAGGGUUUAACCUUAAUCUCUAAUUUAAGUUUUAGCCUAGGUAAUUAAUUAAUGAUGUUGUAUUGAUCCUUGUGUUUGUAUGAUUGUAGAGACCGUCCUGGAGUGUUUGUGCCGCCUGAUUUCUGGGACUACACACCAAUCUCUCUGGCUGACCAUGCAAUAAGUAUUUUGCAAUUACAUCUGUUUGGUCAUUAUCCAUGCAGGCCGAAGAAACUGAGAUACUUAUUUAUGAGGACAUAAACUUUGCACGCAAGAACCUGGAAAGUCCUGAAGGUGCAGUGCUGUCUAAUACCGCUGGUUCUGUAAUAACCCUUUCAACCAUUGGGGUGUUGCACAGAGCUUUGUGGUGAAAAUCCAGCAAACAAAAGAAGAACUAAGAACUAUAUGGAAGCUGACAUUGUCUUGUUGUCAGCCAUAUUGCUACCCUUAGCCAUUUUUAUGGAACAAAAUGUUUGGUGUCUAAACUGAUUUCUUUAUACUCUGUGAAAGACUUAUUCUAUUUUUCUGAACUAUGCUGAACUAUUGAACUAUUUUUAUUUUUGUAGAGUUAGCCAGAGAGAGAGGAAGUGUUAGCUGACCCAGGGAUGGAUGUACUAUGUGUGUUUUUGAUAUAUGUUGAGUGUGCCAGGGAUGGAUUCCCAUGUUUUGAGGAACUGCGUGAGGAUAUGACUGGUUUUGACUGGACUUUUGGAAUAGGGAAAUGGUUAAAAGAUAUAGGACGCAAGGUCCUGGUUGUGCUAUAAUAUAGUUGCUAUAAGCCCAAGUUCCAUUCUGUCUUAAACAUCCAUUUUCUAUAUAUCUGUCUGCAAAAGUAUUAAGUGUUUUUGUUUUGUUUUUUUUCUGCUGAGUUUCUGUUUCUUGUAGACCACAUGAUUGCUUGGGAAUGCCAUAAUGUGGAAAUUUCUCUGUCUUGGGAGAAUGUUAACCGAUGAUAUGAGCAAUACAUAUUGCUCAAAGAGGGGUAACAAUUGUGAUUAUUGGGGCUCAGUUGGAUGGAACACCGGGACAGAUUGGGGUUAUACCUUAAAUAUUGAAAACCCCAGUCCUGGAGAUCAAGGUAUUUAUAUUCUUGUUAAUCCUCUAAAGCCCCACAUUCAAACCCUUGGUGAUAUGAUGGCCAUAGCAGAUCCCACGUUUGGAGAUACCACAGCGUUAGAAACAGGGUAUGCAGAUACAAACCUAUGGCUGGAAUGGUUGAGAUAUAAUGCCCAUUCCAGCAAUAGGUCAAACUGUUAUGUAUGUGGUAGUGCCAGACCUCAUCUAGGAACUGUACCCUUACAUGUCCCUGAUGAGUACUGGGAAUGUUUCCUAAGUUUGUUUUCAGGUAUCACUGUUAAUACUACAGAAUGUGAAGAAUGGAAAAAGGGUCACCCUAUUGGUGAACCCAAGUUUAAUUUAAAUGAUGUUGUCCCAGUAUAUCCUGGUAAUUAUACUUGUUUUCAGGGAAAUAAUAAUGGUAAGGUGGGUACACAAUUUGAUAACUUUUCUUCAGGAUUCUGCUCCGCCUACAGUAAUAUUACCUUAGUGAAUCAAACACAAUCUAUAUAAAAAUACGUUCUAGACUCCCCACCCCCUGGAGAGGAGAAUGUGCCCCAGCCAAAAUAAUCAUGCCCCUCCAUAUAUUUGGCGACUCUCUCCCUGAAAUUAAGGUUGUAACUGAUUCCACAAGAAGGAAAAGGGAAUCCCCACAAGGUAGUUUCGACCCACAUAUCUAUCUAGAUGCCAUUGGUAUUCCAAGAGGGGUUCCUAAUGAAUUUAAAGCUAGAGACGAGGUAGCAGCAGGAUUUGAAUCAAUAUUUCCCAUUAUAACAGCUAACAAGAAUGUUAACUGGAUUAAUUAUAUAUAUUAUAAUCAGCAAAGAUUUGUAAAUUAUACACGAGAUGCAUUACAAGGUCUUGCUGAACAAUUACAGGCUACCUCACAAAUGACUUUCCAGAAUAGAAUGGCCCUUGAUAUGAUUUUAGCAGAAAAGGGAGGAGUCUGUAAAUUACUUGACUCCAGUGUUUGUUGUACCUAUAUUCCAGAGAACACUGGCCCUAAUGGUAAAGUAACCCUAGCUAUAAAGAAAUUGGAAGACCUGUCCAUAGAAAUGAAGAGGAAUUCAGGUAUUGAUCACCCAUGGGCAGAUAUGUUUAAGUUUGACAGUAUCCUAGACUGGCUAAAGAAUAUUGCAAUACUUAUUGUUAUGGUUCUGAUCCUUGCUCUACUUGUUUAUGCUAUUUUCAAGAUUAUUGUAUUCUGCAUUUACAAACAUACAAGCAACACUGUUCCUGUAAAAUCCCCAGCUUGAAAUGAUGAGUAUCUCCAAAUGUAUACACAUAACCGAAGCAAUGGUGAACAUACUGAUACAGAUCUAUAAGUUUGUGGUGCUGGUCAGAUGCCUAGUCCUAUGCUAUGGGAAUAGUGGCCGAAGACAUAAUGAAAGACCUGCAGGAUUGGCUAGCAAUCCUGAAUAUACCAUGGCAGAUGGCUGGUUGUCUGACCAGGACUCCUUAAAUAGGGUAUGAGCAAGAUAUUGCUCAAAGAGGGGGAAAUGAAGGAAUAUUGACCCCUUAAGGACACAUGACAUGUCAUGAUUCCCUUUUAUUCCAGAAAUCUGGUCCUUAAGGGGUUAAACAAUUAAUCUGUCAGUAUUUCAGAACUGCUUGCAAAACAUAAUUGAAAGGAAGUCACAAGCUAUGACAGUUUCUAUGUAUCAGGAAAUGCCUAACCACAAUGUAUAUGUGAUAUUUUGUAAGAUUAGAUUAUUGAAUGUAACAGCAGAAACUGCUUCCUCUUUUAUGUAUCUUGUGUAACCUUUUUGUAACCUUUUGUAACCAAUAUUCGUGACAAGUAUAGUAUAAAUAUAGUGAAUCUUGAAUAAACGAUCAGAAGAUUAUGGAAAGCAAAGAGUGUGCGUCUGGUUAAUACGCUUCCAUGAAAAUCUUCCCUGAAUAUUCAGCUGACAAUCGAGGGUUGGAGAAUAGUGACCAGAGGGACCGAGUCACCAGAUUAGCAGAUUUACCUUUCACC